AGUGAACGCUGGCGGUAGGCCUAACACAUGCAAGUCGAACGGCAGCACAGUAAGAGCUUGCUCUUACGGGUGGCGAGUGGCGGACGGGUGAGGAAUACAUCGGAAUCUACUUUUUCGUGGGGGAUAACGUAGGUAAACUUACGCUAAUACCGCAUACGCCCUACGGGUGAAAGCAGGGGAUCUUCGGACCUUGCGCGAUUGAAUGAGCCGAUGUCGGAUUCGCUAGUUGGCGGGUGAAAGGCCCACCAAGGCGAGGAUCCGUAGCUGGUCUGAGAGGAUGAUAAGCCACCCUGGAACUUGGCCACGCUCCAGACUCCUACGGGAGGCCGCAGUCGGGUAUAUUGGACAAUGGGCGCAAGCCUGAUCCAGCCAUCCCGCGUGGGUGAAGAAGGCCUUCGGGUUGUAAAGCCCUUUUGUUGGGAAAGAAAAGCAGCAGGUUAAUACCACGCUGUUCUGACGGUACCCAAAGAAUAAGCACCGGCUAACUUCGUG
RNAcentral lists this ribosomal RNA (492 nucleotides) under uncultured bacterium. Its description in RNAcentral is "partial 16S ribosomal RNA". It matches the Rfam family "Bacterial small subunit ribosomal RNA", at positions 29 to 507 of the family's 1533-position model. The record is from RNAcentral.